CCAAAGUUCCAUUUUCCCUUCCUAAGCAGCAGUUGGUCUUAGAACUGGAGGAGGACUGAGACUAUAGGCAGGAAUUAAGGGGCCCUAUGUGGAGGGCUUCAGGGCCAGGAAACCAGGUCUGUCAUUAUAAUUGUCACUGGAUUUGCUUAACAUCCUUAUCACAGGAACACAAUCUAGAAAGGCUUGAAUUCUCAAUUCAGUCUGAUAGAUUUUUUUUCUCCAAGAAAGGAGAAUAUGGCAAAUGGAAGGAGGGAAGUUGCUUCUUCCUCUGCACUUGGUGGCAGGAGGGCAACUUGUUGACAUGCUUCAAUCAUCCACCAGCUUCAGCCACAGACCUGUUGGAGCCAACAAAAAGGUUCAGAACUCUUGAAAGCCAUGACCUGCUUUUUCAUGCAGAUCCUUUAAUCCAUAAGGAACCAUGUGGUGCUUGACAGAGAGUGAUUCUUCAGCAGGGAGUCGCAGUUGAAAUUAGAACUAAGCUGUAAUCACGGUAUGUCUUGGGUGUGUGAUGCAGCCUGAAAAAAAACCCCAACCCAAACAUACUCUUACUGUAUAAUGCACACCCUGGGGUGUUAUUGCUUUCAUAAAAUGUAUUUUCUAAUUGUCAAUUUACCAAAUUAUGGCCCCAUGCCUGCAACUGUACUCUUCUUAAAAGUCUAAUUUUCAUUCAAAAAUGCUUUAAAAAAAUCAUUACCUUUACUGAAGGAAGCCUCUGGAAAGAAGAAUCAAACUGGCUGUGAAUCAACCAAAGAAAACUCAGAGUAAAAGGUAGAUGGGGGAUGGUAGGAGCUGCCAUCUUGGAUUGUUCUUUCACAGUGAGUACACACUUUUUUCCCCCCAAAACUCUGGAGGGCCCAACUUUUUCUUCUUCUUUGGAAGAUGCAAAUCAAAUUACUUGAGCACUUUCUUUUUUUAAAAUUUAAAAUUUAAAUAUUUGAUUUUUCCCAGUUAUAUAUAAUACUAUUUUAAACAUAAAUUUCCCCAAAUUAUGAGAUACCUCCUCUCUCUGAGAUGGUAAACUAUUUGAUCUCGGUUAUGUAUGAUCACACAAAAUAUUUCCAUAUUGGUCAUGUUGAGAGAGAAUACUCAUAUAAAAUCAAAAGUCCCAAAUAGAAACACACACAUAAAUAAAAUAAAGUAAAUGAUAGUGUGUAUCA
RNAcentral lists this long non-coding RNA (1157 nucleotides) under Monodelphis domestica (gray short-tailed opossum). RNAcentral describes it as "lncRNA (ENSMODG00000046537.1)". The record is from RNAcentral. Lineage: Eukaryota; Metazoa; Chordata; Mammalia; Didelphimorphia; Didelphidae.